Anopheles coluzzii is the source of this 4854-nucleotide long non-coding RNA. RefSeq lists it as uncharacterized. Lineage: Eukaryota; Metazoa; Arthropoda; Insecta; Diptera; Culicidae. The transcript is spliced from 2 exons. The record is from RefSeq and is a predicted model, not a curated record.
AAUCGCUGCACCACACUGCACACCGCCCUUUGCAACGGAUGUAGUGCAGUGAGUAGGAAACAUACUACAACAUACUUUACCAUGCAAUAUCAAUCAAAAAAAGCGGACGCGAAAUGAUACGUACGGGCCUAGGUUGCUAGACAUCCGAGGCUCCUAACGGGCGGGGGCCUACAGGGUAUUUGGGAAAUUCAAUAUUGAGUUUGUUUUGGGCUGCGCUCUCUGUAGCGCGUGGUCCAAGUAACGCAGGCUAAGGUUAAGCAACACCGCAAACAGGGUCUGUCGUAGUAGGCCCAGCGCAAAAACGCAAAGAACGCAAGAGGGCGGUUUGCGACAGACACGCGGGCUACCCCUGCGAGACGGGCGUAAGUAAAUGACCGACGGUUGGUGGUGCGUUUACGUGUGGUUUGGCUUAUAUUUUUGCGCAAUGAUGCUGAGAGGUAACCGUUUUUACGCACUGCUUGAUCCGGUUGCACCUGCUGCCGGAGCCAGUGGGGAAUUGUCGAUUGCAUCUGGCUCGCCAUGCAUGUUCUAGAACUUUUGCAUGCGCCGGGUUUAUUUUGUGCAACACACUCCGUUCGUGUUUUCGUAAGCAUAACGAACGAAAGGAAUAAUUUAUACUUCCUUUGAGGUGGUGGAUUAGACAAGUGCUGUCAUAAGCCGUCCCUGUGUUAUUGCAAACUGAUUAAUCUUUGACUUAUUUUAGCAAAACAAACCAGGUUAUUGGCAAAUCAGCAGACAGCGGAAUUAUGGCUGGCGGUUAAAGCUUUUGUGAUUAAUCAGACUUGCAAAAACUGUUACACCCGGGGUGCAUUUUAUCUGAAUUAUGCAUGCUGGGUGGUUUAUGUGGUGAAUUAUCGAGACGAUAAGUAUUGUUAUUAUAAUGCAAACGAACCGUUGCAAACGCCAUGCCGAAUCACGGGUGGCACGUGAAGCUUGAUUUUGUUUUGUUAUCGUUGUACACAAUCAAACGUUGUUGUUAUUCCCUUCAUCACGAACUGAACGAACGAACUAGCUUCAGUUCAAGUUAAAAGCAGUCAUAACACAACAUUUGUACCCGUUUGUGAAAUUGAUUACGAAGAAAGACUUUACAAUUUACUCACCAUGCGUUCACAGCCGAGACCACGAAGAUAACAAAGUAUGGUGAAAAAGUUCGAAAAAAGGCUUUCAAUUUCAGCCGAGGAAGCGGCACACUCUCUAGCGGCGUAAUAAAAAUAGCACUAAAGCAGCCUCAAGCUUCCCAGGGACAAGGAUUGGUGCGAUAAAAUCUUGCGUCUUGGUGAGCCAAUCUGCAUCGCGUAAGCAAAUUAGAUAGGUUUAGGUUUGGCAAUGACACAUCCCGACAUUUGCUAAAGAGCCACGCUUAAGAUAGCUUCCAAGCUCAACGCGUCAAACGGUUCUGCAUACGCGCUGCGAUCUCCGGCAGCAAACGAACAACUUCAACGCAACGAUAAGCGACGAGCCCGAUCGGACGACGACGAGCAGUCGAAAAACCGGAAUCUGACCGUUUUUGCAUCAUCAUCAUCAUCAUCACCAGCUCCGUCGACUCGUCGCCAAUCGUUUGCUCAUCGUGCUCAUCGUGCACAGGGCAGCUAAUAGGUUUUUGGUUUGGGAGUGUGCAGGCAGGUUCGCGCUCCGAUAAACCUGUUCACGUCGGUCGCCAUGGUCAAAUCGGUCUGCUAGGCGGCCGGCCAAGGGCAAAGGAAGCCUCAAAACAUUGUGUUGGUUCGUGGUUCUUUCCUUAGUGAUGGAUUCUUUGCGAUGGCAGGUCGGAAUUUACACGGCGUGAGGUGCGUUUGAUAAUGGCAUUCCGAGACAGGUGGCACAUCCUCCCUGGCCUUCGCUUCGCUCGGUCAACCCGGUUGACCUACAAAAGAGCACAAGGUAAGCAGCAGGGGCCCUGCUCUUAAAUGAAGACGUUUGAAGGCUCGCUGGCCUUAAAGGGGGAGGGGGGAGGAGAAGGAAGAACCCGAGUGCAGCAAAGAACCUUCGAAGGGCGUUGCUUGCUAUGUUGCUGCUGCCCGGUUCGUCGAACCCUUGUGUGGCCGGCCGUAAACCGUUUCAGUAGGUCAGAUUAUUUAACUUCAACAAGCGAUGUUAUGUCCAACCGGCCCUUUGGUAAGCAUGAGCGCAAUAAAACGCUUGAGGGUCACACCAAUUGAUUGCCUAUCUAAUCGAUAGAAUUCUUGGAAUAGUGUUAUAACACUCGGUUGGCACGGUGAGGCUUAACUAUACAUGGAAGCAUUACAAGCUGAUAUCAUUUGGAAAAUACUGAUCUUCCGUACGAGCUUUUAAAUUACAAAAUUAUAUAAAUAUUGCUUUCAAUUGAAAAAAAACAGCUUAAAUAUUCAAUUUACAGCAACAGCACUACUAUCUUCCUACUCAAUAUUCGCUUACAGAGUAUCAUCGAAUGAAAGCGCAUCAUUUUACACCAAACUCCCUCCCAAAUAAGAACAUUCCACUUGAAGCACCUUCGCAACAUCAAAAGAAACGGUACAUGCGGACACCGGGACAGAACAGAAUCAGCACAAAAAUGCCCACCCCCCACAGAGGGGUAGUGGGUGAAGCGUGGUAUGUGAAACGUGCACGAGCCCAACCGGAAAGUAUAAUGUUUCCGUUACUGUGGUGGCGUCGGCGGCGUGCCGUGUGUGUUGCAAUGCAUUCGUAAAAACAGAACACUGUGCCGAAAUGGCAAUUACAGAACAACACCUCGAACGUGAGCUUGGCGCACCAACCAGACAGGCGCCAGCUGCGAGCGGGGAAAAAAACAGACACAAACAGAGGAAGCUCACCCAAAGCUCAAGGCCAAAUUCCAUCAGCACCAGGCAGGAAAAACUGAUUGAAAAAUGCGCACCGAAACGCGCUGAGGUGAAGUAACAGCGCCCGGCAACAUCAUCGCCGAAUCAGCGUCGAUCAACCAAUUGCUCGAUUAUUAAUGGCACCGUAACCUAAAUAGCGCCGGCUUCAGUACACCGUGUGCGACCAUUUCUUUCUAUGUUCGAUCGCUCGCCAAACGAACGCUUGACAAAUGAAACGUGUAUGUACAGCGUAUGUGUACAGCAUAAAUCCAACACACGAACACACAUGCCAGGUGGUGUUGGUAUUUAAUUUUACCCCAAAAUGUUACCCCUUGUUUCUUCCAUCUUGCUCUCUCCCCUUCAGUGGUCAGAGCCAACAUGUGAAGCAUGUUUGGCAAAGCGUCUGGUGUGAAUUAUGCUUUUGGCUGGCGUAACGACUAGACGACGACGACGGGGACCGGGGCUGGCUGGCUGGCUGGCUGGCAUGUAAUUCUAGUAUCUCGGUCUAAAUUGGACUCCGAGGUUUGCAAAAGGGUGGUUGUUUUGGGGGGUGUGCGCGUGAAACAGCAUUACCAUUAUAUCAUCAGUCCGGCAAACGGCUGGGAUUUGGUAAAAGCGAAGCUUAAUGAGCCGCUUAAAGGUAAGCUUUUCCAAUAAGUAAAUAAAUAGAUUGAUUCAUAACGCUCAUCCAUAAUAUUAGUAAUGCAUCGGAGCAAGCGUUGCGUUGGGGAGGGAAGUUGGUGUGAAAAAUUACCCAUUUAUGGCAAUAAUUAAAUUACAGGAAGACGGCGAUUCCUAUUAGAAUUAUAUUGAUUGCAAGCGUAUUAGAAAAUGUUGUUGCUUAUAUAUGAUUUUCAUACAGAUACAUGACAAAGGUUGACGUACAUACAAUUUUUUGAAUAAAACAAAAAAACAUUAUAAUCAGAUGACAUGCUCCAUUACAAACCACUCGCAUUAACUGCUUUUAAACAAUGGGCCUCAUCGCGAACGAAAGUCGAUAAAAUUUAUCCGAUCGGUUAAUUUGCUCGAAUCCACCGGUGGAAUUUAUUUUCCACCGGUGGAUAAUUUUUUCCACCGGUAGAUAAUUUCUCCACCGGUGGAUAACUCUUUCCGAUUCGAGUAGCCAUUGAUGUUGCAUAUCUGUCAAUCACACUUUUGUUUACAUUUAGAGGUGUUGUUUUGCGGAAUGAAUAAAAUAGUAAAUUUGGCUUAUUUACGGACCAUCUAGUGAAGAAUCCACACCAGGCCUUAGACAGUACUGACUGUAGGCCUAUUCAAACAAUCCGGGUAAAGUGUAAAACGGGCUGUAGGCUGAACAAGUCUAGUUGAAACAAAAUCGUAUGAACUGGAGGACGAGGUUUGAAUCCUUUUUGAGCUUGCCACCUUCACUAACGCUUGUCCUGUCCCAUGCACCAUGUGCGUCCAUCAACUCCAGCCACCGCGAACGUUGGAUCCGUGAACGUCCGUAUUUUACGCCCUCGUGCAAAAAUAUAUUGAAACAACGCGGUACACUUAUUCCGUGCAAUAAGGAGUGUCCGAAACCGCUCACGGUCUCUCGCCCUCGCCAGUCCAUUAUCCUGGUCACUACUUUAACGCUUUGUUCCUUAAUGACUGAUGCCUCCAAGUCAUCUGGCCACUUAAAUUUAAACCUACUACGCCUUCUCCGCAAUUGCGGAUUUAACCGUAAGCGGACUGAUUGGCCGCAGGAGGCUCCGUGGAUAUAAAGUCCAGCAUAUAUGGUGUGUACAGUAGUCUCAUCGUGGACCUCCAUGAACGAUAGAGGCUCCAUGGACGAAGAGACUCAAAGACUACAGGGGCCCAUAUAUGACGAAUUCCGACCAAUACCCCCCACUCCCCCAAGAAAAAAAUUAAAGUGUAUUUGAUUCAAAGCCAAGAGAUGAAAUCUCCCCCCACCCCCUCUCCCUGCACAACACCUGGGUCGUUCGUGCGUUUAACAUGGCCUGUCCACUGAAACCUGGCGAGCUUGAUACGACAAUGAGUGUGCUUCCACACAUACGAUGAUGAUUUCGUCAGAUUUGUUAAAAAUAAAAUAACUACG